Molecule: long non-coding RNA, 772 nt
Organism: Dendroctonus ponderosae (mountain pine beetle)
Lineage: Eukaryota; Metazoa; Arthropoda; Insecta; Coleoptera; Curculionidae
Exons: 2
Source: RefSeq, a predicted model, not a curated record
CCAAUUAAUUAUUCCCAUUUUCUUUUAGUAAUCCCCUUUUUUUUGUAAUUUGAGUAAUUUUAGUAACCAGAUGAGAUCAAAAACGAAACAGCCGACAUAUGAAAGCAGUACUUUGACAAGCUUUUAAACGGAGAUCAACAAAAUAAACAGACUACAACCGAGUACGAAACUGCAGAACCGCCGGAAGAAACUAUCAAAGCUAUCAAAACGCUCAAAAUUAACAAAGUUCGAGGAAAAGACCUUAAAUAUGGAGGAGAAGCCCUACAAAGACAACUACAUAGACUUAUUACCCUUAUAUGGGGUCAGGAGCACAUACAAGAUGAGUGUAACUAUAGAGGAGUAUUUUUAAUCAACACGGCAUAUAAGAUCCUUGCAAACAUACUUUUGUAACGCCUUCAACCGAUCGUGGAGUCAGGCUUGAUAGACUACCAGUGCGGAUCCGCCGAGUUCCGUCGGAUCAUGGAUCCGUGAAAAUUGAUCUACUGUCGACCAGAUAUUUACAAUAAGGCAAAUGUUAGAAAAAUGCAUUUAACAAAGUGAUUCAUUCACUGUUCAUCACCUUUGGGCAAACAUACGAUAGUAUUCUAAGAGUUAAGCUAUGGGACGCAAUGGUGGAGACGGGAAUUCCCAAAAAGCUAAUCAAUGUCUGCUAUGUUUUGUAAGCUAAAAGGGUUCUGAAAUCUUCCAGAUAUGAGGGUAUUUUUUUCAUUAUGUCUGUACCUACCUGUAUCAGUCCUGAUAUCUACCUGAUUAAAUUAUUUUAGAAACAGAU